AGCUAGCUGUACAAGCUAAUUAUACUUAGGAAUAUAAAAACUUCUAAAUUUUGAGGGAUCCAUUUCAUUCAAUAUUGAGUAUUCUUGUACAAUUUUGCUCUUUUCUUGUUAGAUUUCUUCUUCUAACUUCUUCUCUGAUGACACUAGAGGAGACCGAUUCAGCAUCUAUCCACUUCAAUACUUAUUGACUUUUUCUUAAUUGGAUAGAUUCUUCCCAUCUUAAAAUUUAACGUUAGUCUAAACUAUUAAUUAAUUGAAAUUAUAUAUGCUGCAAUUGUGUCAUAGACGUCAGCUCUUUUCACCAAAACCUUUUUUUUUCUUUUUCUUAACUUAAACUACUUCCUGUUUAGCUUCAUAAUAAGUACAAGGACUUGCUUAUACUAAAAUAAUAUUAUGAACCUCGCACACUAUUAAAUGAGUGAAUGUAUCUGUAGAGUCUAUGUAGUUUAAAUGUGCACGAUUGUAUGAGGAUUGUAGCAAUGUUCUUGCAGCUCUAACACUAGGAUCAAUCAUAGGGACUCUGGUAACCAUUCUCAUCAAACUCGCUGAAGAGUUCGGAGUAAAACCUAGCCCACUGAGUUUCUAGCUGGGUCUUCUCAGCAGGUCGAUUCCCGACCAGUAGUAGGUGCAUUCGCGAAGUAGCUGUCCUUGAGCUGUUUGGUCUCGAGACACUGUCAGCAAAUCUCACCCCUCCUGGCUGAGCUUGAAAGAGAUUCUAGUCAUCCUUCCAUUGUAAAAUAAAAAGAAAUGUAACAAUUUACUAGAGUGUGUGUAUCUAUCUGCAUUUAGUUUUAUUUAAUCGUAACGUUAUAUUUAAUGUCUUUUUUUGGACUUUUAAUUUUAAAGUUGAAUAUAAUUGAAUACAAAAAAAAGAUAACUAUUAAAUCGGUGGUAUCUACACGAAACUGCUUAAAUAGCAUAAAUAUGUUUUAUUUAUUUUUUAGUUAGUACUUCUAAAGCAUUUAGAUUUCUUUGUCUUAUUUAAUAAUUAAUGUCUUUUAUUUCAAGCUUUUCAGUUGUAUUUCUGUGGUCCAAGUGAAAUACAUUGGAAUAAUAGCUAACUUGCGUUUCAAACCGAAAUGCACAAUGGUUUUUAUAACUCGGACUUUGAACAAACAACACAGAAAAAGUGGCAGACGUUAAAAGCCAGAUAAACAGAAUAUUUUCGUAGUGUUUGAGCUAUUUUACAGUCGAACGCUCGCUUUGGCUGUAGGUGCGGCAAUGCUCGAGAAUUCUUCUACAAAGUUAUCGGAAACUUGGGAAGUUCUUCACAAUUCAUCCGCAUCACUUCACCUUACUGCGGAUUAAGUUUGGAAAAUUCUAUGUUCGUUUCGUUGCGUCCAAUUUUGAUUUAUUGCUGACUAUAUUCAGCUGAUGCCGACGGCCCACAUGAAGAUCUUAAAAAUUUAUUGCUGUACGAUUUGUAGAUGGGCUAUUUUUCAAAAUAUUCUCCAGAGCGUUGCUCGAUCAAAUAUACCUUAGAAACAUAGAAACCGGCAAUGAAACAAAAAGCAGCACACUGUCGCAAAUCUUAACAAUAGCAUGAAAAAAAGACGAAGGGCAUGUUUGUUUUAUUUCUCUUAAAAAUGAAAUUGCAUCAGUUUCUUCAACUUGGAUCGAUGUACGAAGUGCGUGGACAUGAAAAUUGGACCUACAAGAAGCUUACUUGAUUAAAAUAUAAAGUACAGGACUACUCAACCGAUAACUGUUAAAAAUAUACAUCUAACAGGUGAACUCUAUUACCAGGAAUAGCUUGUAGCAAGCAGUUUUUCUUUUCAGCGUCGUCAUCAAUAUUGGAAAUAUGAAAAUUCGUGAAAAUCCUACGGGGACGAAGACAUUAGCAUAUUUAUUAAUAUCAUCCAAACGGGAAGCGUUCCGCUAUCGAUAAUAACCCCAGACGAACGAUCGCUUUCGUAUCUUAAAUGACAGACUCAAGUUAUUGCAAGUUAAUUCACACAUAAAUUAUUUUUAUAAGCGAUGUUAGGUAAAUAUAUUAUUAUCGCUUUUU
Long non-coding RNA from Bombyx mori (domestic silkworm), 2008 nucleotides. RefSeq lists it as uncharacterized. The transcript has 3 exons. Lineage: Eukaryota; Metazoa; Arthropoda; Insecta; Lepidoptera; Bombycidae. The record is from RefSeq and is a predicted model, not a curated record.